Molecule: ribosomal RNA, 158 nt
Filed under: Heterodera sp. GX665
Lineage: Eukaryota; Metazoa; Nematoda; Chromadorea; Rhabditida; Heteroderidae
Description: 5.8S ribosomal RNA
Rfam family: 5.8S ribosomal RNA
About the family: 5.8S ribosomal RNA (5.8S rRNA) is a component of the large subunit of the eukaryotic ribosome.
Source: RNAcentral
UAGUCUUAUCGGUGGAUCACUCGGCUCGUGGAUCGACGAAGAACGCAGCCAACUGCGAUAAUUAGUGUGAACUGCAGAAACCUUGAACACAGAAAAUUCGAAUGCACAUUGCGCCAGUGGAGUUAAAUCCAUUGGCACGCCUGGUUCAGGGUCGUUAC